This 486-nucleotide ribosomal RNA is filed under the name uncultured bacterium. RNAcentral describes it as "partial 16S ribosomal RNA". It matches the Rfam family "Bacterial small subunit ribosomal RNA", at positions 30 to 507 of the family's 1533-position model. The record is from RNAcentral.
AUUGAACGCUGGCGGCAUGCCUAACACAUGCAAGUCGAACGGCAGCACGGGUGUUUGCAUCUGGUGGCGAGUGGCGAACGGGUGAGUAAUACAUUGGUACAUGUUCCGUAGUGGGGGGUAGUCCGGCGAAAGCCGGGUUACUACCGCGUACGAAUUUCGUGCGAAAGCGGGGGCCCUUCGGGCAUUGCGUCUUUGGGUUGGUCGAUGGUUGAUUAGCUCGUUGGGGGGGUAUAGGCCUACCAAGGCGACGCCCAGUCGCUGAUGUGAGAGGACGACCGGCCACACUGGAACUGAGACACGGCCCAGACUCCUACGGGAGGCAGCAGUAGGGAAUUUUAGGCAAUGGGCGAGAGCCUGAUCCAGCAAUGCCGCGUGUGUGAAGAAGGCCUUCGGAUGGUAAAGCACUGUUGUCCGGAAAGAAAUCCUUUGCCCUAAAACGGGCGGAGAAUGACGGUACCGGAAGAAUAAGCACCGGCUAACUACGUG